Molecule: non-coding RNA, 400 nt
Organism: Microcebus murinus (gray mouse lemur)
Lineage: Eukaryota; Metazoa; Chordata; Mammalia; Primates; Cheirogaleidae
Source: RefSeq, a predicted model, not a curated record
CAACAGCAAGUGCUCACUUCAUGUCUCUUCUCACAUUGUGAGGCAGAAGACGCCCAGAGAAGUCCAGUGACUUGGUCCACAUCACACAGCAACUCAGAGGCCGGACUGAGGCCCAAGCUCCCGCCUUCUGACUCCCUGUGUAGCUCAGCCCCCUCCCCAUCCGUCCACACCGUCUUUUCCAACACAUUCCUCUCAAUUUGGCAAUCACAGCGUGUUUAUUUAUAAAUUGGCUUGUUUGGAGCCUGAGAUUUGGCAUCGCUGAUUUUGGCUAGGAGGUGUUCAAAUUUUUCCUUUCUUUGUUUUGGUUUGCUAAACCAUGUUUUGUGAGCAAAAACACAAAGUAAUAAAAACACAACGAGGCUGCUAAAGUUGUCCGAAAGUAAAGCAUCCAGAAAUGUGA